AUGAGAACAAUUGAAAACAGCAGAAAAUCCAGAAUCACCUCAACAACGCCUGCUGUCAGUGUUACUUCAACAUCACCACAAGGCUGGUGGAGGGUCAUCAUGGUGUCUGUGGGUUUAGCAGCACUCGUAAUAACUGUUGUGGUGGUCAACAUAUGGAUGAGAACUAAAGGGAACAAAAGCCAGAUGGAUGGCGAUGCUGAGCAUCAUGAUGAAGAUGAAGGUACAGUGACCUAUGAAAACGUUGGAGAACCUUCUGUUUCUAUCAGACUCCACUGAUCAACAACUUCAAC
Molecule: long non-coding RNA, 290 nt
Organism: Perca fluviatilis (European perch)
Lineage: Eukaryota; Metazoa; Chordata; Actinopteri; Perciformes; Percidae
Exons: 4
Source: RefSeq, a predicted model, not a curated record